ACUCCAGUGACUGCCUCUCAGAAAAGAACAGGGCAAUGUCCAUUCUCCUUUUAUUUUCUUUAAGCACCUGAUCAUUCUAAAAGCAUGUGUUCCUCCGUGUGUGUGAGUUGUGUACACGUGUGUGUGUGUUCCUUUCUUUUCUCGGACUCCAGGCUCAUGACUGCUUAUUUGCAUGGUGUUUUGGUGUCAAAGGAGUGUUGAAUGUGUUCUCCACACACCCAGCUUUAUUCCACUCUAGGAGUUUAACUUCUUCAGCAUUGUUAUGAGGUCCCCGGUGACCUCAGUUUCUCCUCUCCGCGUCAUCCAGGACUUCACCUGAAGCUUGAGCUACACGUAAGACUUCAUCUACCUUGCACAGGGCAAUGGAGAGAGGAUGGCAUACCAGAAUCACCAGAUGACAGACAUCGGGGUGCUGUCGGACCCGGGAAUCAGAACCUCUGCAGAUAGAUAUUUUGGAAGGCGCUCCCUAGAUUGGCACCUCUGGUUAGAACCCUGCCCAGGGACUGGACAAGUUGGGCCCAUGGCUCAUAUCUGGCCAGUGUUCAUUGCUUUGUUGAAUCACACUUAAUCCUUUGGUUUUGGUAGAUUCCUGCAAGUAGACUGACAGCUGCAUGUUUGCAGGAAAGUUAAAUAUUUUGACAGCGCAGAAGACUGCUGCAUCUGGAGGGUUCUGGGUCCAGCUAUAACCAGACUUGCCUGUCCUAAACAAAUGGAUUGACUGCUUCCGGCAUCCUCACUUUACUUCUGCAUGGUGACCAACAUCCGGAGCUUAAUUACCUGACAGCCAGGAGGUAGGGGGCAAAGGAAACCUUUUAAUUUAUAGUAAGAAGUGAUCAGUUCCUUUUUUGGGUCUUAGUUAGAAUCCAGGUGCACUUGAAACAAUAAAACCUUGUAUAUAGUUUUCUCCUAUAAGAAACUUCUCAGAUAUUUACCAAAAUCCUGGAAAAAUAUAUAUUGGUCAAUAUACCACAAUUCCCACAAGAGGUAAAUAUUUACAAAAUCUACUUUGGGCGGUGAUGCUGCAAGAAUAUUAAAAGGCGUUGACUUUAUCGUCAAGUGAAUUAUUUCUUAAUUUUUUAAAAUUUAAAUCACAGUAUAUUUGACAAGCUACAGCAGUAGGAAAACACCUUUGCUUUAAACAAAACUACCUUUUCUCAGCAAGAACAGUUACUAGAGUGGGAAAUAAGGUUAAUUUCAGUUUUAUUAAUAAUAUCUGAAAUGAAAUAAUGUUACAACUCUCCCCUCUAACCUCGUUGCUAGACAACUUAGAAUAUUUAUUUAUUUCUCCUUCAGAGAAAAUAAGAGUGGAUGUUACCUUUAAGCAACAUACACAUUUAAUUAAUGAACACAAGGAAAAUGAUUCCGGUUGUAGUUAAAUCGGGUACAAGCAUAUAGGAUUUAAGAGAUCUGACCUUAGAAAUGAAGAAAAUAUUAUUGUAAUUACUCCAUUUGCUAAAAACAAAUGAUGUGGCAUUUGAAUUUAAGACUUCUAUCAAAAGCAGUUGAGUGUCUGUAAUCAGUUCUCACCUUUACAUUUUAAUGGAGUUGAGGUUGAGCCGUUGCAUUUACAAUUAUCUAGGCUGACUUCAUGCCUUUGAAAUGACUUAAAAAGAUUAGCAUUCAUGGAUUAUUUAUUAGCUCCUCGUGAACGUAUUUCCAAGAAUGGAAACAACGUAUUGCAUCAAAGUCUAGUUUCCAAGUUUAACUCUUUUAAUGAACAGCAUGACUGUACGAUGCUGCAAAAGGCAUCUCUGAAGUCACAGGACAUUUUGUCAUGCUUUUCCCUUCAAGUGCAUCUUUAGUAGCAGUCUUUGUUCCUUGCAAGCUCAGGGAGAAUGUUGAUUCCAGCCCUGGCAGCUGCCCGAGAUGCCCUGUAAACACUACGGCUAGCAGAAAGCAGGCUGCUCAGGGGGGCAAGGCAGCUGAUCCCAGCCUGCUGUAGCUAUCACUGAUAGGGAAUGCCUGUCUGGGGCUCGGCAGAGAACUCAGUGACAUGAUGGCCCUGGCAGUUUAACCCAAACACACUUUUCUGCCUAGAUAACAAAAAUGUCAUGCCUGAGUCCCUGAUAGCAACCCCAGAGGAGCUCCAGGUUUGAGGCAGCGCUGGCAGGACGUGGUCUAUCUGCCAUCUGAAGCCCUUCAUUGCCCGCCUGGCUGUGAAUCUCACCUCCUCUGUAGUGGAAAACAGGCUGAACAGAACUGGCAGGCAGCUUUGCAGGGGAGCUAAGAUUCUUCCGAGAAAAAGCAGAAUGAGAGAGAGAUAUGCAGCUGCAGUGGAGGACUUGGAAGAGAACAACGCCAGGUCCUGGAUCCUGCAAGAAUCUCCUCUGGAAAAGCAGGGGAGAGAAAAGCAAGGAAGGAAGCAGGGUCACCGCAAGUGUGGGAUUUGUCUUAUUAAAAUCUGAUACUGUGUGGCAGUUUGCUUCACUCUUGGUAUAAAAUGUCUGAGCUCCAUGUUAAAGUAAAUGUAAGUAAUAUAAAUCUGCCUUUCCUGAGGUGAAAAUAGAUCCAUAUUAUUUAAAAUAUGAACUGAGAUAGAUGACAGUUACAAACAUUAUACUUGUUCUUAUUAUAAUUCUUACUAAGCUCAAGGAAUAAAAACUGGGAUGAUGAAAAAGAAGUUCUGAAUGUAAAAAUUGGUGUUUUGGAUAAAAUACAAACCAACCCAGAAAUGAUGAAAAAAAUCUGCCCUGCCUGACUUGCUUUGUUGCUUUGCUCAUGGAGAGUUCAGCAAUCGUGUCAUUUAUUCAUUCAUUCACUCACUCACUCACUGACUCAUUCAUUCAGCAGCUAUCCAACCGGAGCUCGCUGUGAGGCAGACACUGUGCUGGGGACACACAAAUGCAUCAGAUGUGGAGUCUGCCCUCAAUGAGCUUAUAAUCUAAUAAGAAAGAGAAGGCAAGUCCACAUGUAACUGUAGUACGAGGCAGGAUGUAAUAACUGCAGAAAGGGACAUGAAAGAAAAUGCCGUGAGGGAUUGCACCUCACUAGGGGGAGGUUUUAUUUGAACUAUCUUCUAAUGGAUGGGCAGAAUUUGGACAGUGGAAGUGGUGGGG
Molecule: long non-coding RNA, 3056 nt
Filed under: Homo sapiens (human)
Lineage: Eukaryota; Metazoa; Chordata; Mammalia; Primates; Hominidae
Description: HSALNT0339863
Source: RNAcentral